CAGGCUUAACACAUGCAAGUCGAGGGGCAUCAGGAAGAAAGCUUGCUUUCUUUGCUGGCGACCGGCGCACGGGUGAGUAACACGUAUCCAACCUGCCCUUUACUCGGGGAUAGCCUUUCGAAAGAAAGAUUAAUACCCGAUAGCAUAAUGAUUCCGCAUGGUUUCAUUAUUAAAGGAUUCCGGUAAAGGAUGGGGAUGCGUUCCAUUAGGUUGUUGGUGAGGUAACGGCCCACCAAGCCUUCGAUGGAUAGGGGUUCUGAGAGGAAGGUCCCCCACAUUGGAACUGAGACACGGUCCAAACUCCUACGGGAGGCAGCAGUGAGGAAUAUUGGUCAAUGGGCGCUAGCCUGAACCAGCCAAGUAGCGUGAAGGAUGAAGGCUCUAUGGGUCGUAAACUUCUUUUAUAUAAGAAUAAAGUGCAGUAUGUAUACUGUUUUGUAUGUAUUAUAUGAAUAAGGAUCGGCUAACUCCGUGCCAGCAGCCGCGGUAAUACGGAGGAUCCGAGCGUUAUCCGGAUUUAUUGGGUUUAAAGGGAGCGUACGUGGACUGGUAAGUCAGUUGUGAAAGUUUGCGGCUCAACCGUAAAAUUGCAGUUGAUACUGUCAGUCUUGAGUACAGUAGAGGUGGGCGGAAUUCGUGGUGUAGCGGUGAAAUGCUUAGAUAUCACGAAGAACUCCGAUUGCGAAGGCAGCUCACUGGACUGCAACUGACACUGAUGCUCGAAAGUGUGGGUAUCAAACAGGAUUAGAUACCCUGGUAGUCCACACAGUAAACGAUGAAUACUCGCUGUUUGCGAUAUACAGUAAGCGGCCAAGCGAAAGCAUUAAGUAUUCCACCUGGGGAGUACGCCGGCAACGGUGAAACUCAAAGGAAUUGACGGGGGCCCGCACAAGCGGAGGAACAUGUGGUUUAAUUCGAUGAUACGCGAGGAACCUUACCCGGGCUUAAAUUGCAGUGGAAUGAUGUGGAAACAUGUCAGUGAGCAAUCACCGCUGUGAAGGUGCUGCAUGGUUGUCGUCAGCUCGUGCCGUGAGGUGUCGGCUUAAGUGCCAUAACGAGCGCAACCCUUAUCUUUAGUUACUAACAGGUUAUGCUGAGGACUCUAGAGAGACUGCCGUCGUAAGAUGUGAGGAAGGUGGGGAUGACGUCAAAUCAGCACGGCCCUUACGUCCGGGGCUACACACGUGUUACAAUGGGGGGUACAGAAGGCAGCUAGCGGGUGACCGUAUGCUAGUCCCAAAAUCCUCUCUCAGUUCGGAUCGAAGUCUGCAACCCGACUUCGUGAAGCUGGAUUCGCUAGUAAUCGCGCAUCAGCCACGGCGCGGUGAAUACGUUCCCGGGCCUUGUACACACCGCCCGUCAAGCCAUGGGAGCCGGGGGUACCUGAAGUACGUAACCGCAAGGAUCGUCCUAGGGUAAAACUGGUGACUGGG
This 1433-nucleotide ribosomal RNA is filed under the name uncultured organism. Its description in RNAcentral is "16S ribosomal RNA". It matches the Rfam family "Bacterial small subunit ribosomal RNA". The record is from RNAcentral.